AGUGAACGCUGGCGGUAGGCCUAACACAUGCAAGUCGAACGGCAGCACAGUAAGAGCUUGCUCUUACGGGUGGCGAGUGGCGGACGGGUGAGGAAUACAUCGGAAUCUACUCUUUCGUGGGGGAUAACGUAGGGAAACUUACGCUAAUACAGCAUACGACCUACGGGUGAAAGCAGGGGAUCUUCGGACCUUGCGCGAUUGAAUGAGCCGAUGUCGGAUUAGCUAGUUGGCGGGGUAAAGGCCCACCAAGGCGACGAUCCGUAGCUGGUCUGAGAGGAUGAGCAGCCACACUGGAACUGAGACACGGUCCGGACUCCUACGGGAAGCAGCAGUGGGGAAUAUUAGACAAUGGGCGCAAGCCUGAUCCAGCCAUACCACGUGGGUGAAGAAGGCCUUCGGGUUGUAAAGCCCUUUUGUUGGGAAAGAAAAGCAGCAGGUUAAUACCCCGCUGUUCUGACGGUACCCAAAGAAUAAGCACCGGCUAACUUCGUG
This 492-nucleotide ribosomal RNA is filed under the name uncultured bacterium. Its description in RNAcentral is "partial 16S ribosomal RNA". It matches the Rfam family "Bacterial small subunit ribosomal RNA", at positions 29 to 507 of the family's 1533-position model. The record is from RNAcentral.